RNAcentral lists this ribosomal RNA (253 nucleotides) under uncultured bacterium. RNAcentral describes it as "partial 16S ribosomal RNA". It matches the Rfam family "Bacterial small subunit ribosomal RNA", at positions 524 to 776 of the family's 1533-position model. The record is from RNAcentral.
UACGUAGGUCGCAAGCGUUGUCCGGAUUUACUGGGCGUAAAGAGCGCGCAGGCGGCUGGUCAAGUCCGAUGUGAAAUCUCCCGGCUCAACUGGGAAACUGCAUCGGAAACUGAUCGGCUUGAAGAUGGGAGAGGGUAGUGGAAUUCCCGGUGUAGUGGUGAAAUGCGUAGAUAUUCGCAAGAACACCAGUGGCGAAGGCGGCUCACUGGCCCGAUACUGACGCUGAGGCACGAAAGCGUGGGGAGCAAACAGG